This is a small nuclear RNA of Manis pentadactyla (Chinese pangolin), 104 nucleotides long. NCBI's taxonomy places the organism in Eukaryota, Metazoa, Chordata, Mammalia, Pholidota, Manidae. The record is from RefSeq and is a predicted model, not a curated record.
AUGCUCAUUUUGGCAGCACCUAUGCUAAAAUUGGCAUGAUACAGAGAUUAGCAUGGCCCCUGUGCAAGGAUGACAUGCAAAUUCAUGAAACGUUCCAUAUUAAG